This 2385-nucleotide ribosomal RNA is filed under the name Staphylococcus aureus. Its description in RNAcentral is "partial 23S ribosomal RNA". It matches the Rfam family "Bacterial large subunit ribosomal RNA", at positions 388 to 2777 of the family's 2925-position model. Lineage: Bacteria; Bacillati; Bacillota; Bacilli; Caryophanales; Staphylococcaceae. The record is from RNAcentral.
UUGUCUCUCUUGAGUGGAUCCUGAGUACGACGGAGCACGUGAAAUUCCGUCGGAAUCUGGGAGGACCAUCUCCUAAGGCUAAAUACUCUCUAGUGACCGAUAGUGAACCAGUACCGUGAGGGAAAGGUGAAAAGCACCCCGGAAGGGGAGUGAAAUAGAACCUGAAACCGUGUGCUUACAAGUAGUCAGAGCCCGUUAAUGGGUGAUGGCGUGCCUUUUGUAGAAUGAACCGGCGAGUUACGAUUUGAUGCAAGGUUAAGCAGUAAAUGUGGAGCCGUAGCGAAAGCGAGUCUGAAUAGGGCGUUUAGUAUUUGGUCGUAGACCCGAAACCAGGUGAUCUACCCUUGGUCAGGUUGAAGUUCAGGUAACACUGAAUGGAGGACCGAACCGACUUACGUUGAAAAGUGAGCGGAUGAACUGAGGGUAGCGGAGAAAUUCCAAUCGAACCUGGAGAUAGCUGGUUCUCUCCGAAAUAGCUUUAGGGCUAGCCUCAAGUGAUGAUUAUUGGAGGUAGAGCACUGUUUGGACGAGGGGCCCCUCUCGGGUUACCGAAUUCAGACAAACUCCGAAUGCCAAUUAAUUUAACUUGGGAGUCAGAACAUGGGUGAUAAGGUCCGUGUUCGAAAGGGAAACAGCCCAGACCACCAGCUAAGGUCCCAAAAUAUAUGUUAAGUGGAAAAGGAUGUGGCGUUGCCCAGACAACUAGGAUGUUGGCUUAGAAGCAGCCAUCAUUUAAAGAGUGCGUAAUAGCUCACUAGUCGAGUGACACUGCGCCGAAAAUGUACCGGGGCUAAACAUAUUACCGAAGCUGUGGAUUGUCCUUUGGACAAUGGUAGGAGAGCGUUCUAAGGGCGUUGAAGCAUGAUCGUAAGGACAUGUGGAGCGCUUAGAAGUGAGAAUGCCGGUGUGAGUAGCGAAAGACGGGUGAGAAUCCCGUCCACCGAUUGACUAAGGUUUCCAGAGGAAGGCUCGUCCGCUCUGGGUUAGUCGGGUCCUAAGCUGAGGCCGACAGGCGUAGGCGAUGGAUAACAGGUUGAUAUUCCUGUACCACCUAUAAUCGUUUUAAUCGAUGGGGGGACGCAGUAGGAUAGGCGAAGCGUGCGAUUGGAUUGCACGUCUAAGCAGUAAGGCUGAGUAUUAGGCAAAUCCGGUACUCGUUAAGGCUGAGCUGUGAUGGGGAGAAGACAUUGUGUCUUCGAGUCGUUGAUUUCACACUGCCGAGAAAAGCCUCUAGAUAGAAAAUAGGUGCCCGUACCGCAAACCGACACAGGUAGUCAAGAUGAGAAUUCUAAGGUGAGCGAGCGAACUCUCGUUAAGGAACUCGGCAAAAUGACCCCGUAACUUCGGGAGAAGGGGUGCUCUUUAGGGUUAACGCCCAGAAGAGCCGCAGUGAAUAGGCCCAAGCGACUGUUUAUCAAAAACACAGGUCUCUGCUAAACCGUAAGGUGAUGUAUAGGGGCUGACGCCUGCCCGGUGCUGGAAGGUUAAGAGGAGUGGUUAGCUUCUGCGAAGCUACGAAUCGAAGCCCCAGUAAACGGCGGCCGUAACUAUAACGGUCCUAAGGUAGCGAAAUUCCUUGUCGGGUAAGUUCCGACCCGCACGAAAGGCGUAACGAUUUGGGCACUGUCUCAACGAGAGACUCGGUGAAAUCAUAGUACCUGUGAAGAUGCAGGUUACCCGCGACAGGACGGAAAGACCCCGUGGAGCUUUACUGUAGCCUGAUAUUGAAAUUCGGCACAGCUUGUACAGGAUAGGUAGGAGCCUUUGAAACGUGAGCGCUAGCUUACGUGGAGGCGCUGGUGGGAUACUACCCUAGCUGUGUUGGCUUUCUAACCCGCACCACUUAUCGUGGUGGGAGACAGUGUCAGGCGGGCAGUUUGACUGGGGCGGUCGCCUCCUAAAAGGUAACGGAGGCGCUCAAAGGUUCCCUCAGAAUGGUUGGAAAUCAUUCAUAGAGUGUAAAGGCAUAAGGGAGCUUGACUGCGAGACCUACAAGUCGAGCAGGGUCGAAAGACGGACUUAGUGAUCCGGUGGUUCCGCAUGGAAGGGCCAUCGCUCAACGGAUAAAAGCUACCCCGGGGAUAACAGGCUUAUCUCCCCCAAGAGUUCACAUCGACGGGGAGGUUUGGCACCUCGAUGUCGGCUCAUCGCAUCCUGGGGCUGUAGUCGGUCCCAAGGGUUGGGCUGUUCGCCCAUUAAAGCGGUACGCGAGCUGGGUUCAGAACGUCGUGAGACAGUUCGGUCCCUAUCCGUCGUGGGCGUAGGAAAUUUGAGAGGAGCUGUCCUUAGUACGAGAGGACCGGGAUGGACAUACCUCUGGUGUACCAGUUGUCGUGCCAACGGCAUAGCUGGGUAGCUAUGUGUGGACGGGAUAAGUGCUGAAAG